RNAcentral lists this ribosomal RNA (253 nucleotides) under uncultured bacterium. RNAcentral describes it as "partial 16S ribosomal RNA". It matches the Rfam family "Bacterial small subunit ribosomal RNA", at positions 524 to 776 of the family's 1533-position model. The record is from RNAcentral.
UACGUAGGGGGCAAGCGUUGUUCGGAAUUACUGGGCGUAAAGGGCGCGUAGGCGGCACGGCAAGUCAGGAGUGAAAGGCCUGGGCUCAACCGAGGAACUGCUUUUGAGACUGCCGAGCUAGAGUGCAGAAGGGGCAACUGGAAUUCCCAGUGUAGCGGUGAAAUGCGUAGAUAUUGGGAAGAACACCUGAGGCGAAGGCGGGUUGCUGGGCUGACACUGACGCUGAGGCGCGAAAGCCAGGGGAGCAAACAGG